AACGGAAAGGCCCUUCGGGGUACUCGAGUGGCGAACGGGUGAGUAACACGUGGGUGAUCUGCCCUGCACUUUGGGAUAAGCCUGGGAAACUGGGUCUAAUACCGAAUAGGACCACGCGCUUCAUGGUGUGUGGUGGAAAGCUUUUGCGGUGUGGGAUGGGCCCGCGGCCUAUCAGCUUGUUGGUGGGGUAAUGGCCUACCAAGGCGACGACGGGUAGCCGGCCUGAGAGGGUGACCGGCCACACUGGGACUGAGAUACGGCCCAGACUCCUACGGGAGGCAGCAGUGGGGAAUAUUGCACAAUGGGCGCAAGCCUGAUGCAGCGACGCCGCGUGAGGGAUGACGGCCUUCGGGUUGUAAACCUCUUUCAAUAGGGACGAAGCGCAAGUGACGGUACCUAUAGAAGAAGCACCGGCCAACUACGUGCCAGCAGCCGCGGUAAUACGUAGGGUGCGAGCGUUGUCCGGAAUUACUGGGCGUAAAGAGCUCGUAGGUGGUUUGUCGCGUUGUUCGUGAAAACUCACAGCUUAACUGUGGGCGUGCGGGCGAUACGGGCAGACUAGAGUACUGCAGGGGAGACUGGAAUUCCUGGUGUAGCGGUGGAAUGCGCAGAUAUCAGGAGGAACACCGGUGGCGAAGGCGGGUCUCUGGGCAGUAACUGACGCUGAGGAGCGAAAGCGUGGGGAGCGAACAGGAUUAGAUACCCUGGUAGUCCACGCCGUAAACGGUGGGUACUAGGUGUGGGUUCCU
This 749-nucleotide ribosomal RNA is filed under the name Mycobacterium sp. RNAcentral's name for it is "bacterial SSU rRNA". It matches the Rfam family "Bacterial small subunit ribosomal RNA", at positions 65 to 831 of the family's 1533-position model. Lineage: Bacteria; Bacillati; Actinomycetota; Actinomycetes; Mycobacteriales; Mycobacteriaceae. The record is from RNAcentral.